RNAcentral lists this ribosomal RNA (253 nucleotides) under uncultured bacterium. RNAcentral describes it as "partial 16S ribosomal RNA". It matches the Rfam family "Bacterial small subunit ribosomal RNA", at positions 524 to 776 of the family's 1533-position model. The record is from RNAcentral.
UACGGGGGGGGCAAGCUUUGUUCGGAAUUACUGGGCGUAAAGGGCGCGUAGGCGGUUCGCUAAGUUGAAUGUGAAAACUCUGGGCUUAACCCAGAGCCUGCAUUCAAUACUGGCGGGCUAGAGUUCUGGAGGGGAUAGCGGAAUUCCUGGUGUAGCGGUGAAAUGCGUAGAUAUCAGGAGGAACACCGGUGGCGAAGGCGGCUAUCUGGACAGAGUCUGACGCUGAGGCGCGAAAGCUAGGGGAGCAAACAGG